AGUGAACGCUGGCGGUAGGCCUAACACAUGCAAGUCGAACGGCAGCGCAGUAAGAGCUUGCUCUUACGGGUGGCGAGUGGCGGACGGGUGAGGAAUACAUCGGAAUCUACUUUUUCGUGGGGGAUAACGUAGGGAAACUUACGCUAAUACCGCAUACGACCUACGGGUGAAAGCAGGGGAUCUUCGGACCUUGCGCGAUUGAAUGAGCCGAUGUCGGAUUAGCUAGUUGGCGGGGUAAAGGCCCACCAAGGCGACGAUCCGUAGCUGGUCUGAGAGGAUGAUCAGCCACACUGGAACUGAGACACGGUCCAGACUCCUACGGGAGGCAGCAGUGGGGAAUAUUGGACAAUGGGCGCAAGCCUGAUCCAGCCAUACCGCGUGGGUGAAGAAGGCCUUCGGGUUGUAAAGCCCUUUUGUUGGGAAAGAAAAGCAGCAGGUUAAUACCCCGCUGUUCUGACGGUACCCAAGGAAUAAGCACCGGCUAACUUCGUG
RNAcentral lists this ribosomal RNA (492 nucleotides) under uncultured bacterium. RNAcentral's name for it is "partial 16S ribosomal RNA". It matches the Rfam family "Bacterial small subunit ribosomal RNA", at positions 29 to 507 of the family's 1533-position model. The record is from RNAcentral.